CAUCUGGUACACGUGUAACAAUGGAAAACAAAGGCACUUUCUUAAUUUCAAUCUUACCAUUCCUAAUAACUGAUAAUAAUGUAAUGGUUUAGUUCAUAGGUAGUUUCUCGCACUUUGGCAUAGAAUAGCUUCCUUCUUUUGUGUGAGUUUUGCAUAACGAUUUAGUUUUCGACUUUAUCACUUGAGUGUUGUUGUAUCAAACAAACAUUUCUGCUGUAUUAGGCAACUAUUUAGGAGACUAUUUCUGUAUUUUAAUUUAACAUUUGUACUCUACCUUAUAGAUUUUAGUAAAGCAAUUCCUAACCUUGAAACUUCGAUUCGACAGUCUUUGUGAGUUCUCUUCGAUUAUGACUUUUGCUGUUUCAUUGAUCUGCAUAUUAUUGUUUUGGAUUCCUUACUUAUGCAAGUUGGUUACUUUAUUAUCCAUUGUUUUAACUCUUCUACUGAGAUUCUAUGGUAUGUGCUUUCACAUAUGAUAAUUUCAGCGAAAAGUCGCAAAAGUUGGGAUGUCUUGGUUAAACAUUCUCACUGACAAAUUGAAUUGUCCAGCUAUUACUCCAUUGCUUCUCUCCGUAGUACUAUUGCUUCUAAGAUGAACUUUGUUUGUUUAUAAGCUUACAAUGUAUCGGUCUAUUUUAUAAUUUCCUUUUCCCUUCUUUUCACGUCAACAAUCAGUAAAGUGGAUCGUAUUAGCCAGAUGAACAGUUAUGAGGAUGACAUGUUACGUUCUUUAGUAAGUGUCCCAUGGUAAGGUGUACAUGUGUUUCUUAUUGACUAUUUAGAACUCCUUUACAAAAUUCUUACAUUGUGUUUGAAAUGGUUAGUCGUAUAGAAAUGUCAGCGCCUUCUGGGAGAACAUCGGGUUAAAUAAUCACUUUUACCCUUCCAGCAUUUUAUAAUGCUUCUUACAGAUUUCAACAAGAUUAUCGGUAACCAACACCUUCUUCCAAAUAAGAGAUCAGCAGAUAACAUGUAAAGAGAACACACUUUAGUACCUAUGCGGAGAAGCCACUGAGCUGAACACGGUUGUAUAAAUUUCCAACAGAAUUUGCCUUUUAACUACCACAGAAAGAUUAGAAGUACUUAACACUGACUAAAGAAGAUUUACUUAACAAUAUAUUAUUUUCAUUCUCAUAACUUAUAGAGGAUCAUAAUGAAACAGGGGCCAACAAAAUAGACCAAAGACUUCUUGUGAACACCUUCACAAAAGAAACUACAGGCUGGAAUUGUAAGGCCCAGGUAGUAGACAAGUUUCGGCCUCGCCAGAGCAAAGACUCCUCCGUCCACUUCCAAAAAAUACUCAUGCAAGAUAAAAGCGUAAUUUUUCCUGUCAUAGGUUAUUCCAACUCUUUAAUGGUCAUUUGGGGUACAUUAUAAUAUUUCUGCUUCCUUAUUGUUGGUGUCAUCUUGGUAGCGAUAUGGUUGCUUCCGUUAUAUACCCUGCCUGCUAUACCUUUAUCUUGUGAACUCUUCUCUUCCCUUAUCAAGUAUAUCUACAUUUGGUCAAAUAUUUCUUCCCAUUCUUAGGUUUGUUCCUUCUGUUGAUGUGUUCAGUUAUCACUGCCUGAAAGCGUUUGUUCCUUUGUGGGAACUACAUGUAAAAAAAAGGGCAUGUCAAUCUUUAUUCCCAUUAUUUCCGUUUGAAAUCAUGGGCUUUAAAUAUAUUAAUAUAAACAAAGAACAGGUCUGCUAAUCUUCAUCGUGCUUAAUUUUCCUUAGUAACACCUGCAUUUACGUACUUCUCUUCUUCAUACUCUUAUGUCUUUCCAAAAUAUUUAUCAUGUGGAAUGAAAUUGUUACGGAAUUGAUACAUAAGUAAAUGUAAUAAAACAAUUUUCUCAGAAUUGGACAGACGAAAAACAUACCUUCAUUCCUCUAUAAAUUGUUCUUGCAUAUGUAAAACUUUUCCUCCUUUACUUGACUAUAGGAACAGCAGGUUUCCAUAGUACUAUACCACGAUGACAUUCCCAAAUACGAGAAACUGUUUGUUCUUUUUCAAACAUAUUUGGUUUCUUCUAUGAAAGUUAGGGAUCCCCAUGGUUAUUCAAUACGAGCUGCUACGUAUGAAUGAGUGGUUGACAGAUACACAAUUGUUGAUCCCAUUACCAGCAAUGCAUUAGAAGAACCUCUGCCUACUCCAACAAAACUGGAUGCACUUCCAUUCUUGCAUAUUGAACACCAACAUCCAGGUGUUGAAUUUGAUUUAUUGGCGGUAGAGGUUAAUUACAGCGCCAUACAAUAUACAGCUGACCAAAAAAACAUUUUAGAGAAGUGAAUAUGAUGGACCAGAGAUAAUGAAGGAGCGACAUUAUUACACCACCUGCAUGAAUACCCCAUCAUUCUUGCCAAACGUACAGCUAAAGGAGCUUUCCCUCUUUUACGCACACAACUCUAAGAUUGGCAACAAGAUAUCAAACAAUAAUUUUAACAAAUGCUCAGUACAUGCAAGCUACUACAUUGAUGAACUGAAAUAACAAUCAUGCCUCCUCGUCACAGUACUAAUCAGAGUGCUCAGAAUUAUAAAGUCUGUCCCACUCAUGGCAUGAGGACACAUAAUAGAGCUCCCAACCCAGACCCUGUCCCUACUCCGAGAGUCCCUCCAGUCUCGACUAGUCCACCUCAGGCUCCACGGACUAAUGUUAAUCAUCCCCUGACUGCUCAGAGAGAUAUUUCAAAUGCCGAAUUUAGACAGUCUAUUCAUAUGCUAGCACAGUUGGUGGCUAAUCAGGCUCAAUGAUUGGAAGAUGUUGGAUAUGCAUCAGUGACGUCGGAGGCUACUAGGGUGGGAUAGUUCAUGAGAAUGAACGCACCCAAGUUUACUGGCAUCAAGGUAGAAGAAGAUCGGCAAGAAUUCGUAGAUGAAAUGGAGAAAAUUUUCAUAGUGAUGCAUGUGGAUCAGAUUGAAGGUGUUGAGUUGGCAACCUACCAGCUGAAGGAUGUAGCAAACCAAUGGUACAAUGAGUGGGAGGAUGCAAAGAGUGACAAUGCUGAGCCCACAAUUUGGGAUAAGUUUGUAGAAGCUUUCCUUGAUAGGUUCUUUCCUCUAGAGCUGAGGGAAACUAAAGCAGAGGAGUUCAUGAACCUCAAGCAGGGUAAGACGAGCGUGUAGGAGUACACUUUAAAAUUUAAUCAGUUGGCCUAUUAUGCUCCUGAGAUGAUGAGUAUUAUGAGGGCCCUAAUGAGGAAGUUUGUUUUUGGCCUUUCAGAUGAUCUGGUGCUUGAGUGUCAGGGAGCUAUGCUGAACAAGGAGUUGGACUUUUCUAGGCUGACAGUUCACAGGCAACAAGUAGAGGAGAAGAAAAAGAAGAUUUCUGAAUCUAGGAAGAAGGAAAGAUAGGCAAAAAGAGCCAGAUCUGCCGACUAGGGUCACAGUCAGCCUCAAAGCGGUAAGUGCAGAAAUAAAUGGUAGAAGAAGAAGAAUUAGGGUAAUGCACAGUCUGCUGCAGCACCCCAAUAUCUAGACCACCGACAGACAGAUAAUCUCAGAGUUUUCAGACUCACCAUGGAUCCAGAGCCCCAGUUACUCAGUCACAGGGCAGUGUGGCCCAAUAACGUCGUACUUAUCCUUGGUGUGAGACUUGUGGAAAGGAUCACCCAGGGAAGUGUUAUUUCAAGGGGAGAAAUUGUUAUUCUUAUGGCAAGGUAGGUUACCUUCUGAGAGAUUGCCCUUCUACUGGAGGAAAUAUGAGGGAGGGGGGGAGAGGGGAGGAAAUAAGUACCAAGCCACCUCCACGGCUCCUCCUCCUAAGGGUGCCCUCUCAGCUACCAGGAGCGGUCGCAACUGGUUAUAUGCUUUGACCAACUGCCAGGAGGCAGAAGUUUCCCCAGACGUUGUCACCGGUGCCACUUCGACCUUGACAUCAUGGAUACAACUGGCACAAUUACAACAACCAUCUCAGAAGCGUUGGGAGAAAGAUUACUGUCCCUAACUGCCGAACAAAUAUAUGAAUCUGCUGUAGUUCAGGUGGUUAAACCCAAAACUAAAUGCAGCAGGUUCAGGUGGUCUGCCAUGUACAGCUAAAUUUUUGUUGCCUCCACCAACUUCAUCACAUGGUAUAGCAUGUACAGGACUGUAAAACUACAAGAAACGGGGUUUAUACUAUGGUUUCGGACAUAAUUCAAGCUCUGCCAAAUCAACGAUCUUUCACUUCCAGGAUUAUUCAACGCUAGCCAUAAAUAAUAGUGGGGUUGAGGAGAUAUUGACAAUGAUGAUGAUAACGAGGGAGGGGACCAUUGAAUCUAUUAGCGAAACUGAAAACUGGAUUUGUCGUGUCAUCCAUAUAAGCCUUGACGAGCAAGACGACGCCAUUGGAGUUGAAAGCUCUGUAUAAUAAUUUUCUUUGUGGAAGGAAAAGUAUAGAAAUGUCAAAAAUAAAAAAGAGAUGGACAGAUUGAGUUGCAGUAGGUUUUUCUCAUCUUUCUUUUACUCUCCAAAGGCAAAAUAACAUGAAACUUGGAACAAAAGGGCACAGGAUGGUGUAACAUUGUUAGAAUUUGUGUUUACCGCAAAAAAAGAAAGGCGCGAAUUUACACGGAAAACAGAUUUGUUUUACUGGAAGUUUGAGUAACAAGGACGAAAAAAUCCAUGUCCUUUUAGUUGAUAAUGACACCAUGACUAUGAAGUCAGGCAUAUUGCAGAGAUUCCUUAAUGUUUUUUCCCUCUGUUCGGCGAAUUUUCUUACUGGAAUAGAGACUAUGACAUUCUCAUUUACUGGGAAUACUGAAAAUAAAGGUUUGCAAUAUCAUUUUCUCUUUUCUACUUUUAUUUUUCUCUAAUCACACUAAAGUGUCGUUGACCUGAAAUAGUAAAUGAGUGCAAAGGAAAAUAGAAGAUGGAAUAUGUUUUACAUUAUCAAUUUGCAAUUACUUUUUGACAUUGACUUCGCUCUAUCUUUUUUC
RNA transcript from Capsicum annuum, 4899 nucleotides. RefSeq lists it as uncharacterized. NCBI's taxonomy places the organism in Eukaryota, Viridiplantae, Streptophyta, Magnoliopsida, Solanales, Solanaceae. The record is from RefSeq and is a predicted model, not a curated record. The transcript has 10 exons.